GGGCGCGUAGUGGAGUGGUUACCACGUUGGUCUUCGAUACGAUUACGUAAUCCUCAACCAAAGUUCGUCGGUUCGAUCCCGGCCGUGCUCG
This is a non-coding RNA of Ceratobasidium sp. AG-I, 91 nucleotides long. Lineage: Eukaryota; Fungi; Basidiomycota; Agaricomycetes; Cantharellales; Ceratobasidiaceae. The record is from the annotation of a GenBank genome assembly.